This 940-nucleotide ribosomal RNA is filed under the name Salmonella enterica. Its description in RNAcentral is "partial 23S ribosomal RNA". It matches the Rfam family "Bacterial large subunit ribosomal RNA", at positions 1279 to 2106 of the family's 2925-position model. The record is from RNAcentral. Lineage: Bacteria; Pseudomonadati; Pseudomonadota; Gammaproteobacteria; Enterobacterales; Enterobacteriaceae.
GCCACACGAGUGAGAAUGCAGGCAUGAGUAGCGAAUGACGGGCGAGAAACCCGUCCGCCGAAUAACCAAGGGUUCCAGGGUCAAGCUAAUCUGCCCUGGGUAAGUCGGGACCUAAGGCGAGGCCGACAGGCGUAGUCGAUGGACAUCCGGUUGAUAUUCCGGAACCGGCGAAGAACCGCCCAUGACGAACCUAGUGAUGCUAAACGCCCAAAGCUGUUGUCCAAGACCUUCGGGUUGAGGGUUUCAGUGGAGCGCGUGACCCGAUCUAGUAGUAGUCAAGCGAUGGAGAGACGCAGGAAGGUAGCCUCCGCGUGGCGAUGGUAGUCCACGUCCAAGGGUGUAGGGCGAGCUGUAGGCAAAUCCGCAGCUCACAUAGCCUGAGACCUGAUAGUGACCGCGUAUGCGGGAAGCAGGGUGAUCCUAUGCUGCCAAGAAAAUCUUCUAGCGAGGUUCGAGCCGCCCGUACCCCAAACCGACUCAGGUGGUUAGGUAGAGAAUACCAAGGCGAUCGAGUGAAUCGUGGUUAAGGAAUUCGGCAAAAUACCCCCGUAACUUCGGGAGAAGGGGGGCCCAGAGGGUGAAGGCACUUGCUGCCUAGCCUGAACGGCCGCAGAGACCAGGGAGAAGCGACUGUUUACUAAAAACACAGGUCCGUGCGAAGUCGCAAGACGAUGUAUACGGACUGACGCCUGCCCGGUGCUGGAAGGUUAAGAGGACCGGUUAGUUCUUCGGAGCGAAGCUGAGAAUUUAAGCCCCAGUAAACGGCGGUGGUAACUAUAACCAUCCUAAGGUAGCGAAAUUCCUUGUCGGGUAAGUUCCGACCUGCACGAAUGGCGUAACGACUUCUCCACUGUCUCAACCACGAACUCGGCGAAAUUGCACUACGAGUAAAGAUGCUCGUUACGCGCAGCAGGACGGAAAGACCCCGGGACCUUUACUA